This 306-nucleotide long non-coding RNA is filed under the name Gossypium barbadense (sea-island cotton). Its description in RNAcentral is "long non-coding RNA (GBAR_LNC004157)". Lineage: Eukaryota; Viridiplantae; Streptophyta; Magnoliopsida; Malvales; Malvaceae. The record is from RNAcentral.
ACAUCUUUUCUCUUUUUUCUCCACUUUCUCACUUCUUCUCCAUUCCAAAUUCCCUUGGUCUCUUGCCGAUUUCUUGUCUUGGAAAAUAUGAAUUCAUUAGCCAUUUGGAGCAGCAAAAGUGUUCAUAGCAGCCUUGGUCGACCAGGACAACGGAGAAGGAAGAACGAAGCAAACUAGUCAAGCCACGGAAAAACAUCGGAUUUGAUUAUUGUUCCCUAUCUCUUUAGUUUUUAUUGUUGUUAUGAUGAACAUAUAUAUGAAUAUUUAUGUUGUUGGAAUGGUUAAUUUAAUCAAUUUAGCUUAAAU